Long non-coding RNA from Mirounga angustirostris (Northern elephant seal), 963 nucleotides. RefSeq lists it as uncharacterized. The transcript is spliced from 2 exons. NCBI's taxonomy places the organism in Eukaryota, Metazoa, Chordata, Mammalia, Carnivora, Phocidae. The record is from RefSeq and is a predicted model, not a curated record.
UGCUGUGCUAAUAUACACUCAGAGGCAGCCAUUUUUGGUGGCCCACCCACCUUCAAGUCCCCCCGCGCCCCGCUCCCGCCAAACAAACUCUGACGUCCUAGCAUCAAGGCGCCAGACAGAGGGCGGAACGGUCCAAUGACUCCCACUCAGUAAAAGCCAGUUUUGUGUCCUUUGGUGCUUCUGCCGAUGAUUGGGCCAGGCGUGGUCAUGUGACCCAGCUCUGACCAAUGAGACUAAGCAGAAGGGUGCCGGGCACUUCCGGGAAAGAUUGUCCUCGCUGAGACCGGCGGGGAGGGGGCGUGGAGCGGGAAGCCUGUCUUGUCCUCCCCUCCUGCCGUCUCGGGAGGGUGUGGUGCCGUUGGGAGCCGUGGCAGCAUCCUGUGAAAGGGAAGGCGGCGGGGCCGACCCACUGAGCCUGAGGGAGGGCCUGAGGGCUGCCCGGCACAGCCGAGGGUGAAGACACUACAACAGCACGGUGUCUGGAUCUGGGUGCUCAAGACCCCCGAGCCCCAGCACGCAGAUCUCCACUCUCCAGAGAGAGACACAUCGAGAGAGGGAACACAAGCAGGGGGAGUGGGAGAGGGAGAAGCAGACUUCCCGCCGAGCAGGAGCCCGGUGCGGGGCUUGAUCCCAGGACUCUGGGAUCAUGACCGAAGCCGAAGCCAGAAGCUUAAUGACUGAGCCACCCAGGCGCCCCAUCAUUUUUCUUUCUAAUGUGUUUCUGUUUUAAAAAUAAAACAUUGUAAACACAAUUGUAGACCUCCUGCAUCCCAUUUCCUUCCUCUCCUCUUAUCCAAGUUUCAUCCAUGUUUUUUUAUUUUUAUUAAUAACAUGCAUAUGUCUAUAAAUGUUAUAUAGUAUGUUGUUUUUAAGCACUAUGUAAUUGGAUCCAUGCUGUAAUAUCCUUCAAAAUACAAUUUUUCCCAUUAAACAUAGUCUGUAUAGCUGGCAAUUCAUUUCUAA